UCCAAGUUCUAAUGGGUGUUGAUAGGUUU
This 29-nucleotide non-coding RNA is filed under the name Rattus norvegicus (Norway rat). Lineage: Eukaryota; Metazoa; Chordata; Mammalia; Rodentia; Muridae. The record is from RNAcentral.